GUUUCGGAAGAUGCAUUGGCUCUCGACCUUCGCCUCUCCAGUAGGGGAGUUGCAGUAAUGGGACAAGACUGUAUCUACAGAAAAAGAGGUUCAAAUAUCGUCUCAACUCUCUUGGGCUGCUCGAAGCAUUGAGGAACCACCCGGACAGCUUCCGAGCACUUUUUGUGGACUCCAUAAAGCCUCCCACUGCCAGGGACCUGUUUAAAGUAACCCAUUCCAUACCUGGCGGCAACCGGCGGUGUUUGGAGAACAACACCAUCUGCCACUGGUUCAACUGGCUGGCUGAGGUGCAAGAUGGAUAAUGUCCUCUAACAGUGGCGAUGGUGUUUGAGUUUGCUACUGGGGCAACGGUGGGUUUGAGGACACCCCGACCAUUGAAUUCCUCCACACAGCGCGAGGGCGUCUCGCUGGGCAGCAGAAGAAAAAGUCCCCGAGGCAAACACGUGUGCUGUGACACUAAGGCUCUCUCUUCAUAGCACCUACAAUGCCUUUAGGGAAUUCAUGACCUCCGGUAUUGUGAAUUCCCCACAUUUCGGUGUUGCAUAAAAACAUUUUUACGAUACAUAAUUAUAUCUAGUAGCUCUAACUUAUAGUAGCAAUUGAGUGUUUGAAAAUGUAACUGCACAUCAAUAUUUAAGCAUUUAUCUACUUACAUCUGUCAUCUGUAUUGUUUGUACAGUGCAUUCGGAACGUAUUCAGACCCCUUGACUUUUUCCACAUUUUAUUACGUUACAGCCUUAUUCAAAAAUGGAUACAAUACUUUCCCCCCCUCAUCAAUCACACACAAUACCCCAUCAUGACAAAGCAAAAACAGGUUGACAUUUUUAUAAAUGUAUUUUAAAAAAUAUGGAAAUAUUACAUUUAUGACCCUUUACUCAGUACUUUUCUGAAGCACCUUUGGCAGCGAUUACACAAUAGUCUUCUUGGGUAUGACGCUACAGGUGUAUUUAUUUAAUACAUUUUAGAAUAAAGCUCUAAUGUAACAAUGUGGAAAAGGUCAAGGGGUCUGAAUACUUUCCAAAUGCACUGUAUUUCCAUAUUGGCUGUUAUUGUUCACUUAAUGAUCAUUAAAAUUUAAUUAUACAAUAUAUAUUGCUUGUUUUGGUGUUAAAGUUACAUUUUUUUAUUAACACUUUACUAAUAACCAAUAGCCGUUGCUGAUAUUGACUGAAGUACUGCAGCCAACACAUCCAAACUUGAUGUCCUACAUUAAGAAUAAAUUAACUUCAGCCAUUAUCAUUUAAUUAGAACUAGAUGAAAUAAGGCUUCCCAUCCACUGCAUUAAGUGACAGCUCCACUUCUGGGAACUGCACCUUUGUAGUGACUUAUCAAAUUUCAAAUGCAUUGAUCUAAGAACUAGAUCCAUUAGUCCUAGGCUCUCCAACCCUGUUCCUGGAGAGCUACCCUCCUGUAGGUUUUCAAUCCAACCUCAGUUUUAUCUAACCUCAUUAACUUAUUAAGCAGGUAAUUAUUAAAUUCAGGUGCACUAGAUUAGGGUCGGAGUGAACCUACAAGACAGUAGCUCUCCAGGAACAAGGUUAGGAGCCCUGCACUAGUCCAUUUUCAACCACAUAAUUUGAGCUGUCACAAUGUGUCAACAAUGUUAUGUUACUAACUGUAAUAGGUUGCUGUUAAUCACAAUUAUAUAAAAUGUAACGGGGGCAAACCACUAUCUUCAUAGUUCAUUUUUUUUAAACUAUAGGGCGUUCUCCACACUUAUUUAAACAAUUUAUAAAAGUCCCGAUUGGGCAUUAUAAAAAUGUAAGUUCUGUUUUAAUAAUGUCCAUUCAGAAUGUUCUGUUGUCCUCCCACAGCAAGCACGCUCUGAAGGCUCCAAUCCAGUGCUCGCAGUAGGCCUCUCCUGGGUCAUGUUGUACUGAGUGGAAGACAAAUAUUGUGUCAGCAGAUGGAAUGCUGUGCUAAAGCGCCAUAGAGCAAAAUACAAUAACCAUAGGCCUUAUCUCCAAAUAUGACCAAACAAAAUCGUACUGGAAUGGGGAAGUAUUUAACAUUUGUUAAGGCCACCUGUGGCUAAACUCUGGUCCCAUCCGUUUAGAGUUAAAGAGUCUAUCGUACCUUUAUAGAGACCAAAUCAUACAGUGUGUGAAAGAUGGGGAAUGUUAGUAUUAUAAAAUGUAUAAUAGUAUUAUAAAAAUUAACUGAUUCAAAGGAACGAGUGGCGCUAAAGUCCAAUCCCUCAUCCCAGUAGGGGUGUAUGUAGUAAGUCAGGUUGGAGUAGGAACGAGUGGCGCUGAAGAUAUAAUUGCCAUAACCCUCUGUAGAUUGUCAACUCCCAGGCUGUUUCUGGGGCCUUCCAAUGGAAUUAUUGUCCGCAACAGUUGCCAUUUGUCUGAUGGUCAUAUGAUAAUCUAUGAGGAACUCAAGCUGCUCCUUGGUGAUGUGAUACCGCCUUCCCUCCAAAGGCACUUGAUAGGAUACUGAAA
Long non-coding RNA from Salvelinus fontinalis (brook trout), 2444 nucleotides. RefSeq lists it as uncharacterized. The transcript has 3 exons. NCBI's taxonomy places the organism in Eukaryota, Metazoa, Chordata, Actinopteri, Salmoniformes, Salmonidae. The record is from RefSeq and is a predicted model, not a curated record.